GUGACGGCGAUGGGGUGACCUCCCGAAGCAAUUUGAACUCGUGGGGCGCGCGGAUGCGGCGGGAGAAUGGCGAGUUUUAGAACAUUCAAAUCCCAGUUCGGGUGUUGAAAGCAAGGAAUUUCUCUAGCAUGCAGCUCGAAUGUGGACCUGUUUUUCAUUAUUGUACGAGGGACCUGUACAUAUCGAGGACGAUAGACGAAUGCUAACGUUCCAAAUCCUUCCCAGGUAUAAUCUUUACGCCCGACACACGCAAAAUCGGUGGAGUUCGUUGAUCUUGUACAUUAGAUACGGCAGGUGCACUCGAGCAUCCAGGUCAUCAGAG
RNAcentral lists this long non-coding RNA (322 nucleotides) under Physcomitrium patens. RNAcentral describes it as "long non-coding RNA (PPAT_LNC007511)". The record is from RNAcentral. Lineage: Eukaryota; Viridiplantae; Streptophyta; Bryopsida; Funariales; Funariaceae.